ACUCAAUUGGCAGAACAUGGGACUAUUAAUCCCAGAAUUGUGGGUUCAAGACCCACAUUGGGAG
Molecule: transfer RNA, 64 nt
Filed under: Mesocricetus auratus (golden hamster)
Lineage: Eukaryota; Metazoa; Chordata; Mammalia; Rodentia; Cricetidae
Rfam family: tRNA
About the family: Transfer RNA (tRNA) molecules are approximately 80 nucleotides in length. Their secondary structure includes four short double-helical elements and three loops (D, anti-codon, and T loops). Further hydrogen bonds mediate the characteristic L-shaped molecular structure. tRNAs have two regions of fundamental functional importance: the anti-codon, which is responsible for specific mRNA codon recognition, and the 3' end, to which the tRNAs corresponding amino acid is attached (by aminoacyl-tRNA synthetases). tRNAs cope with the degeneracy of the genetic code in two manners: having more than one tRNA (with a specific anti-codon) for a particular amino acid; and 'wobble' base-pairing, i.e. permitting non-standard base-pairing at the 3rd anti-codon position.
Source: Rfam by way of RNAcentral